UGGGGAAUAUUGGACAAUGGGCGAAAGCCUGAUCCAGCCAUGCCGCGUGUGUGAAGAAGGUCUUCGGAUUGUAAAGCACUUUAAGUUGGGAGGAAGGGCAGUAAGCGAAUACCUUGCUGUUUUGACGUUACCGACAGAAUAAACACCGGCUAACUCUGUGCCAGCAGCCGCGGUAAUACAGAGGGUGCAUGCGUUAAUCGGAAUUACUGGGCGUAAAGCGCGCGUAGGUGGUUCGUUAAGUUGAAUGUGAAAGCCCCGGGCUCAACCUGGGAACUGCAUCCAAAACUGGCGGGCUAGAGUAGGGCAGAGGGUGGUGGAAUUUCCUGUGUAGCGGUGAAAUGCGUAGAUAUAGGAAGGAACACCAGUGGCGAAGGCGACCACCUGAGCUCAUACUGACACUGAGGUGCGAAAGCGUGGGGAGCAAACAGG
RNAcentral lists this ribosomal RNA (429 nucleotides) under Pseudomonadota bacterium. RNAcentral's name for it is "Proteobacteria bacterium partial 16S ribosomal RNA". It matches the Rfam family "Bacterial small subunit ribosomal RNA", at positions 355 to 776 of the family's 1533-position model. Lineage: Bacteria; Pseudomonadati; Pseudomonadota. The record is from RNAcentral.